UUAUAUAUUAUAUAAAUAUUCUACAAAUAUACUAACAAUAAACUAGGAAAUAUUUCUAAUCGAUACUAGAAAUAUUAUUAAAAUAUUAUUUAGAUAUACCUACAAUAUAAUACGAAAUAUUCUCAGUAUAUACUGAGUAGACUGCGGAAGCGGACAUAGAAACAUUCUCAGUAUAUUCUCAAAAUAUUACAGUACGUAUUUCGGAUAUUCAUGGAAUAAUCGCAAUUUACGUUUGCGAUAUACUGAGAAUCUGCUUAGAAUCUACCUGUGCUGUAUGGAUGUCUUCAAUGCAUGCUGAGUGUGCUGUUGUGUUGUUUCGACAUUUCUAUGACGCUGUUUCCUUCUUCAGCUUUUAUAUGUGAAAUUAACAGUGAACCUUGAAUAAGAAUAUCCUGACUACACUUUACAUAACAAUUUCACAAGCCACAAAGAAAAAAAGACAAGAAGGAUAAGGUGUCCCGUUCAACAUUAUGAUUUGCCACAAGAUAUUUUUUUACCAUCUAGAAGAAAUGGCGAUAACAGGCGUUGAACAGCGAGGAACAAACGAACUAAGUGGAUUAAAUUACUCACGUUGAACUCAGUGAUGUAAACACGGUGAAGGAGAGCUUGUGGCGCUAUUCACUUUACUAGGACCAUUCAUCCGUUAGCAAUUUUCAAUCAUACUCUGAACACUGAUCCGUGACUGCAUGUAAAGUCUCAAAGUUUAAUGCCAGGCACGAACUCCAACACAACGUACAGCAGAUCAUUUCGUAUACAGGCGACCAAUCCACAUCC
This is a long non-coding RNA of Harpegnathos saltator (Jerdon's jumping ant), 774 nucleotides long. RefSeq lists it as uncharacterized. The transcript has 5 exons. The record is from RefSeq and is a predicted model, not a curated record. NCBI's taxonomy places the organism in Eukaryota, Metazoa, Arthropoda, Insecta, Hymenoptera, Formicidae.